CUCCUUCCCCUCUCCAAAAACUCUCUACUCCCACCGUCGCCUCCACUCCUACCACCGCCACUGGAGGCGCCUCCCCUCUCGAUGCCUUCGCCUCGGACCCCACCUUCUCAGCCUUCCUCUCCCAUUCCUUCGAUUCCACCCGCUUCUCCUCCGCCGCCCUAUCCGCCGGCUCCGCUGCCUCCACCGCCGAGAAGCUCCAGGAUGGCAUCCGCCUCCUCGAAAAGCAGCUUCGCUCCGAAGUCCUCCACCGCCACUCUGACCUCCUCAACCAGCUCUCCUCCCUCAAGGACGCCGAUUCCGCCCUCUCCACCCUCCGCGCCGCCGUCUCCUCGCUCCAGUCUUCCGUUCGCCGUGUCCGCUCUGAGAUUGCCGACCCUCACCGCCAAAUCAAGUCAAAAACCAUCCAGCUCUCCAAC
This 416-nucleotide long non-coding RNA is filed under the name Vitis vinifera (wine grape). RNAcentral describes it as "long non-coding RNA (VVIN_LNC003645)". The record is from RNAcentral. Lineage: Eukaryota; Viridiplantae; Streptophyta; Magnoliopsida; Vitales; Vitaceae.